This is a long non-coding RNA of Cucumis melo (muskmelon), 3235 nucleotides long. RefSeq lists it as uncharacterized. The transcript is spliced from 7 exons. Lineage: Eukaryota; Viridiplantae; Streptophyta; Magnoliopsida; Cucurbitales; Cucurbitaceae. The record is from RefSeq and is a predicted model, not a curated record.
UUGUAAAUAAAAAAUUAAACCCUAACUUUUCCCUCUCCCAUAUUUCUCUUCUAGAUCGCAAUCCCACGCCCCUUUCCGUCUGCUCGAUCGCAAGCCCCCACGUCUUCUUCUGUCUGAUCGAUUGUAAGCCACCGUAAGAGGUUCGUCUGCUGUCGUCGCUGAAGACAUUGUGUUUGUCCGUCGCUGAAGAUUUGGUGUGUUCGUCCGCCAUCGUUUAGAACAGGUUCAUCCGCAAUAGUUCAUCCGCCGCUGCAACAGUUCGUCUAUUGCCGCAACAGGUUCUUCCGUCGCAAUAGGUUCGUCCCCUGCAACAGUAGUUUAAGAAAUUAGUAGUAGUAGCGGUGGAAGUAACGAACGACGAUGGAAACCAUUGGCACUUCGAUUUGCUAGCAGCUAUGAGGACACUUGAGGGUGGGUUCAAUGCUAGGGCUUAAAGUGAUGGCUUACGAUUUACCCCUCGGUCGUCAACUCGGCUACGGCUACUCGGGAUAUAUAGAGCUUCUUCUGGUAAUGUAAGCAAGCAAUUCUAUUUCUUUUCACUGCUUUAGAACUUUUAAAGUGCUUUUUGAUCAUGUUCUGUACACUUUCUUUUGGUUACAACUUGUAGGGCAGAGUUAGUAAAAUGACUUGAAAUUAAAAAAAGUAAAAUAAAAAUUUGGUUAAAGCUAUUCUAUCACUCUUCUUUAUGUUGCUACUGCAGCUUCUACGCCUAAAAUUCAUCAUGGCAUCUCUAAUUUCCUCCUCUAUAGCUUUUAAGUUCAACAGUAAGUAGUGAUUUGUAUUGUUCUAUAGUUGUUCACUCCCAAUUUGAUAUUGACAUUCACCUGUUAGGCUUGGUCGAAAUAGAUCCAAACAAAAGAAUGCCACAUUUCACCUCAGAGAGAAGAGGGUUAAAUACAUGGCUUUUCAUUUCCUUUUUUUGUACAGAGUAAAAUAUUCUUUUAAGGAACUCUAUUUCUAAUUUUCUUGGUAGUUUUUUCUGUGGCUAAUGCUAUGUUUACCUUAGAAUUUUUCAUAUUUACUUUGAUAGUUCAUGAUCUUCUUGUUCUUCAUGAUUUUCAUAUUUAAUAGGAGCCUACUGUCCCUCCCCCAUGUUUUGAUUCUCCUCCUUGACACUUGCUAAUAUGUAGAUCUAUGCUCCAAGGUACUCAUUCUUUUCUAUACUAGAAAAUUGUUGUUGUGCACUUUUUAAUAUCUUGUUGACUUGAGCUUCAGUUCUAGAUUGUUCUUUCUAAUUUUUUGGUUUGUGGUCAUCUGAUUUGUAACUUUGUUUGGAAAUUCCACUGUUUACUCAAUGAUUCAGUUCUAUGAAGGAUGAAUUUUGUUAUAGUUAUUUGAUAUUCAAUUAACUGGAGUGCAACAUCAGGCAUGUAGAUGUAGAUGAUUAUGCAUAUAUAAUAAUAUCAGAUUAUGUGCCAAUGCCAUGUCCUUUGUUGUUGAAGUAUGUUGCCUUCUUUGUUUUUAGUUUAUAUAGUCUUUCAUCACUAGCAGCACAAAUAGAAUUUGGAAUGUUUGUUCUUGUCACUAUUGCUGCUGGAGGGACUGGGCAGUUUGCUAGGUUUAAUAAUUAUUGCCUAUCUUUCUUGUAGUAGCUUCUUAUUUUACAUAUAAUGUAUUUUCCUUCAAAUGAUGUGAAGAAAUAUCUUAAAUGUGUGUAAAUUGGAACUCCUUUGUUUAGUCCAACGAGAAAAUUACUUCUAACUCUCCUCCAUCUUCAGUCUGUUUAAACCAUUUCCUGACAUUUGUGGUAAUUAGUAAUUUCAGUCGUUAGAUAAAUGCCAUUAAAAUUAUGGUGUAAGGUUUAAUUUGAAAGAUGAAAUGCAUUCUUUAGUUCAAGAAAUGUGAGGAUACAUUCCAAAAAGCCAGUUUUCCCUUCAAAUCUAGUCAUUUAGUUCGGCAGGGGCAUAUUUUAAGUUUUUGAUUUUCCAUGUCGUCCUAAAGAUGGAGUAUCCUAAAGGCAUUGAUAUCAUCUGUGAGUCAGUUGGAGGCUAUAUGUUUAGUUUUUGUUUGAAUGCAUUGGCUACCUAUGGAUGACUAAUUUUUAUUGGAAUGAUCUCACAGGGUAGUUUUUAGAAGCCUACAUCUUGUUGCUUUGUACUUGACUUUUGUUAAUGGAACAUUUCGACUGUUACGAUACUGUAUUUCAUUCUUGUGAAGUUUGAAUUGGAUAUAUUUGUAAAGUCUGUUAAUGUAACAUCCAAGAGGGUUGAAGACUUGUUAGGAAAAACCAUGGUAUAUUACUACAUGUUUCAAGGUUGCCGAGUAAAAAUUGGAAGACUAUAUAGUUAUUGAGUAGAUUGGGAGGGGAGCAUUUGAAUCGACUUUUCUUGUUUAUCACAAGGCUAAGAAGAAAAGAAAUGAAACAAAUUUUUGCUUAUGGCAAAGCAAAUAGAGAAGUUCAAGCGCACUGCCCACCAAGAGGUUAGUUUAUUUCAAACCUAUAUCAACUAUUUAACUGUUUGAACUACUGCUCAUUAUUCCCAAGAUAUGAUCAAAUUGACUCUCUUCAGCCUUUAAAUUUUGUCAACUACAAACGAAUUGCUAGUUAACUCAUGGGGUAAAUAAAUUGCUAUUAACUUAGGAAAUGUUUAAUGCCUGGCUCACAUUCGACGAUAAUGCUUAAUGAUACAAAACAGAUCAUAUAGAAAUGGAAUUUUAUGUUGACAAAUGUGGGCAGCGUAAAUUAUGGAAGAUGGAAGAUUGUAGUUUAAGAUAUUUGCACUCCAAUCGAGUGCUACAUAGAGAUCUUAAGGUUUGUUCGAGAAAUCUAGGGCAGAGACUGCUAUGGCUCAUAAGGUAAACCACGAGAAUGACUAUUUGUUCAAGAUUGUUCCGAUUGAGGAUUCCAACAUUGGGAAGUCCAACAUUCUUUCAAGAUUUACUAGAAACGAGUUCUACUUGGAGUCCAAAUCCACCCUUGAUCUUUUGGGUUAGAUAAACAAGUUUUGUUGAUACUAGAUAUAAGUGAACUAGUUUUGUUGACAUUUUGUUAAUAUUGGAUAUAGGUGAAUUAGUUUUAUUGAUAUUUUGUUGAUAGUGGAUAUAGGUAAAAGACAAGUUUUGAUAUGGUAUACCUUUAGGCUACACAUAUAUUUGUUUAUAUCGACAUAUAGAUGAAAUGUUUAGGCUAUUGUUAGAAGUUUGGGCUGCACAUAUAUGUUGUAAUGAAGUAUGUAAUAACCAACUAAUAUAUUUAUGGUUCAUUGAUAUAUAUAUGCAAUUUCUUUGAUGGAAA